CGAGCGGUAGAGAGAAGCUUGCUUCUCUUGAGAGCGGCGGACGGGUGAGUAAUGCCUAGGAAUCUGCCUGGUAGUGGGGGAUAACGUUCGGAAACGGACGCUAAUACCGCAUACGUCCUACGGGAGAAAGCAGGGGACCUUCGGGCCUUGCGCUAUCAGAUGAGCCUAGGUCGGAUUAGCUAGUUGGUGAGGUAAUGGCUCACCAAGGCGACGAUCCGUAACUGGUCUGAGAGGAUGAUCAGUCACACUGGAACUGAGACACGGUCCAGACUCCUACGGGAGGCAGCAGUGGGGAAUAUUGGACAAUGGGCGAAAGCCUGAUCCAGCCAUGCCGCGUGUGUGAAGAAGGUCUUCGGAUUGUAAAGCACUUUAAGUUGGGAGGAAGGGCAUUAACCUAAUACGUUAGUGUUUUGACGUUACCGACAGAAUAAGCACCGGCUAACUCUGUGCCAGCAGCCGCGGUAAUACAGAGGGUGCAAGCGUUAAUCGGAAUUACUGGGCGUAAAGCGCGCGUAGGUGGUUUGUUAAGUUGGAUGUGAAAUCCCCGGGCUCAACCUGGGAACUGCAUUCAAAACUGACUGACUAGAGUAUGGUAGAGGGUGGUGGAAUUUCCUGUGUAGCGGUGAAAUGCGUAGAUAUAGGAAGGAACACCAGUGGCGAAGGCGACCACCUGGACUAAUACUGACACUGAGGUGCGAAAGCGUGGGGAGCAAACAGGAUUAGAUACCCUGGUAGUCCACGCCGUAAACGAUGUCAACUAGCCGUUGGAAGCCUUGAGC
Molecule: ribosomal RNA, 779 nt
Filed under: Pseudomonas costantinii
Lineage: Bacteria; Pseudomonadati; Pseudomonadota; Gammaproteobacteria; Pseudomonadales; Pseudomonadaceae
Description: bacterial SSU rRNA
Rfam family: Bacterial small subunit ribosomal RNA
Source: RNAcentral